UAAUGAACACCUAACGUGAUUUAUCUAGAAUACCACAAUUUUCAAUCAUCUUUUUUGAUUCACACCUUCGAACCAAACCAAUAAAUUAUCUGCCCCUGACUUUAAAAAUGUAAUGAACACCUAACGUGAUUUAUCUAGAAUACCACAAUUUUCAAUCAUCUUUUUUGAUUCACACCUUCGAACCAAACCAAUAAAUUAUCUGCCCCUGACAUCUUUGCUUGUUCGAAGAGAAAUCAAACUAGAAAGUUAGAGAACUAAAGAAAGAAAGAGGUAUAGAAGGAGAAUGAAAAAUUGGGAUGAAGUCUUGCUCAUUAAUGAAGAUUAGAGAGGAAGAGACUAAUUAGGACAAGCUUUGAAGAAGAAAGAGGCACUUAAGAAACUAGGAUUUUCUCAUAGCAAUUGAAAUUGGAAUCAAGAUUUAAGUGUCAAAUUUCUUCUAAAGGUAACAUAGGACCCAACUUCAAACCUCUCUAGGGUAUGUUCAAGAUUUGAAUUUGAUUUUGAAAAUGUAAAAAUAAUUUUCUAUUUCCAUUCAUACAUAUCAAUUUUCAAGUCUUGCAUGCAAUGUGUUUGUGGAAUGUCCUAUAUCAAAGUUUAAUUCAUGAUAUGCAUGUUGUGAUGAUUUUGAGACGUCAGUUGUAUAUUUUGUUGAUUUAAAUUUGAGUGUUGAACUUUGGAUAUGCAAAGCAUAUGACUUUUCCUUAAUUUAAAUUAUUGC
RNAcentral lists this long non-coding RNA (718 nucleotides) under Cicer arietinum (chickpea). RNAcentral describes it as "long non-coding RNA (CARI_LNC003148)". Lineage: Eukaryota; Viridiplantae; Streptophyta; Magnoliopsida; Fabales; Fabaceae. The record is from RNAcentral.